CAUCGCCUCGCUGCCAGCAAGCUUUGUGCCGGGGUGGUCAGAGCCCGAGCUGUGACGUUAGAGCCCAACUCCCUCCUAUCUGGGCAUGAAGCAGAGCAAAGCCCUGCGGGAGGAGAGGAGCUGCAGCUGCUCAGGGUUCCCAGGACCAUGUUGUGCUGUGCACACAGCAGAUGUGAGGCAUUACCCACACAGCACCAGCUGAGCCACAAAGACCAAGGAGGAUGAACAUGGCUUUCCAGCAUCACGAGGCCACCAGCACCUGCGCUGCCCCAGCCAAGCCUGAAAUGCAAAGGGAAAACAAUGCAAAUGGCAAAUACUCCACAGAUUCUGCAGCUUGCUUUGAGUGGCAAUAAUGCCAUUAACAAAUAAAUUCAUUAACAGCACAGAGCCUGUCCCAGCACCUUGGGUCUGCGUUUGCCAUGCGGGCUCUUGGAUGGCUCCAUGAGCAGUGCAGACAGCUGCGCCCGCAGAGAUGUCGUGGAAACAAAGGCAGCAAAAUAAGAUUUGGAAUUUGCUUUGAAAUUCUGCCUUGGAUCUUCAGGGAAAAAAAAAAAAAAAGGAAAGAAAGAAAGAAAAAAACCAACAGAAAAACAAAACAGAUGUGUGGUGUUUUUUAUUCUUUUUCUCAUGGAGGCUAACUGCCCCCCGCUCACUAAAGCAGGUGAAGGCAGCAGAGCCCAGAGCUUGGUGAUCCCCUGGUUCCCAGUGCUAAGAGCUCAGUGCUGUGUGGGUCUGACAGAGAGAUCUGAGGAGCCCAAGGCUUCUUGCUCACAUCGCCACGCACUUCAGAAAGAGAUCUGAGCAAUAACACAACAACAACAUGUGCAACUACUUAGAAGUCAAUUAAUAUCAGAGGAAGGACCCUUGUUGAAUCCAGCAGAAAGAAUGAUGGUUACAUUUCCGGAAUAAUGGCUGAAAUUUGCCAUUGUGUGUCAUCAGGAAUCAUUUAAAAUAGUUUUGAUCUCAGCUCUUUCUGUCGGGGCUCUAAUGAAUUAACAGAUGACAGAUUUCCGUAAUGAAAGGCUGUGUUUUAAAGACAAGCCGACAUUGUUUUCCCUGUACUACUCAUAUAAUUUGGGAUGUUUAAAAAUAAUUACAGCACAAGAUGAAUACCUUACAAGGUUUCAGAUAUUUCACACAUGCUGAGCCUUCCUCCUGCACAGGUUUUAGGGGCUGCACCCAAUCAACAUCCAAGUUCCAACACCCAGCAUCUAACAUCCAACUUCUGACAUUCAACUUCCAACACUCAAUUUCCAACACCCAACUUCCAAUAUCCAAUAUCCAACAUCUGACUUCCAACACCCAGCUUCCAAUAUCCGACACCUGACUUCCAACAUCCAACUACCAAUACCCAACACCUGAAUUCCAACACCCAACUUCCAACAUCCAACUACCAAUACCCAACACCUGACUUCCAACACCCAACUUCCAACAUCCAACUUUCAACACCCAGCAUCCAAUAUCCAACAUCUGACUUCCGACAUCUGACUACCAACAUCCAACAUCUGAUUUCCAACACCCAACAUCCAGCUGACAUCCUCACAGCCCAAGUACCACCAUCCAGAGCUCCAGCAAGAAAGAAAGAGUCCCUGCUGCCCCACAGCCCUACAAGCCCUAAAAGCCCCCACAGAGCCCACGAGGUGGGUGCAAAAGGCAACGACCGGUGCAGCGAUGUCCUCCGCAGCGCUCUCCUCAUUAGCUCGGUGCUGGAUCACAUUUUUGUGCAGUGCAAAGGGACCACAAAGGCAUAUUAUAUUCAAUGUUAAGUAAACAAACUUUUGAAACGGACUUUUAUUGAUUCCAUACGGCCAUCUGGCUUGGAGGAAAAAGCCCCCUCCCUCCUCCCCCUCCCUGUGAAAAUAUUCGAAGGCUGGGGGCUGGCAGCGGCUCAGCGUGGCUGCAAACCACCUAGUUUCCUCUGCGGUUAACAACACAGGAAAACGUCGAACUCUCAGAUAAAUGUUGGAGGCUUAUUUGGUUCACCCAUCUGGUAGCCAGCCUGUUCUGUGAAAAUUAAAGAUAUACAUAUGCAAAUAUUCACAGUCUGCU
Gallus gallus (chicken) is the source of this 2049-nucleotide long non-coding RNA. The record is from Ensembl. Lineage: Eukaryota; Metazoa; Chordata; Aves; Galliformes; Phasianidae.